Molecule: ribosomal RNA, 216 nt
Filed under: Glomeromycotina sp.
Lineage: Eukaryota; Fungi; Glomeromycota
Description: partial small subunit ribosomal RNA
Rfam family: Eukaryotic small subunit ribosomal RNA (bases 40-216)
Source: RNAcentral
GGGCCAGUAGGUUGGUCGUGCCACCGGUACGUACUGGUCUCACUGAUUCCUCCUUCCUGAAGAACCGUAAUGCCAUUAAUUUGGUGUUGCGGGGAAACAGGACUGUUACUUUGAAAAAAUUAGAGUGUUUAAAGCAAGCUAACGCUUGAAUACAUUAGCGUGGAAUAAUGAAAUAGGACGAUCGAUCCUAUUUUGUUGGUUUCUAGGAUUGACGUA